RNAcentral lists this ribosomal RNA (489 nucleotides) under uncultured bacterium. Its description in RNAcentral is "partial 16S ribosomal RNA". It matches the Rfam family "Bacterial small subunit ribosomal RNA", at positions 28 to 507 of the family's 1533-position model. The record is from RNAcentral.
GAUGAACGCUAGCGGGAGGCCUAACACAUGCAAGCCGAGCGGGAUUUGUUGGUUAGCUUGCUAACUAACAAUGAGAGCGGCGUACGGGUGCGUAGCACGUGUGCAACCUGCCUUUAUCUGGGGGAUAGCCCUUCGAAAGGAAGAUUAAUACCCCAUAACAUAUUGAUUGGCAUCAGUUAAUAUUGAAAGCUCCGGCGGAUAGAGAUGGGCACGCGUAAGAUUAGCUAGUUGGUGAGGUAACGGCUCACCAAGGCUGCGAUCUUUAGGGGGCCUGAGAGGGUGAUCCCCCACACUGGUACUGAGACACGGACCAGACUCCUACGGGAGGCAGCAGUGAGGAAUAUUGGACAAUGGGUGAGAGCCUGAUCCAGCCAUCCCGCGUGAAGGACUAAGGACCUAUGGUUUGUAAACUUCUUUUAUACAGGGAUAAACCUACUCUCGUGAGGGUAGCUGAAGGUACUGUAUGAAUAAGCACCGGCUAACUCCGUG